Molecule: ribosomal RNA, 492 nt
Filed under: uncultured bacterium
Lineage: Bacteria
Description: partial 16S ribosomal RNA
Rfam family: Bacterial small subunit ribosomal RNA
Source: RNAcentral
AGUGAACGCUGGCGGUAGGCCUAACACAUGCAAGUCGAACGGCAGCACAGUAAGAGCUUGCUCUUACGGGUGGCGAGUGGCGGACGGGUGAGGAAUACAUCGGAAUCUACUUUUUCGUGGGGGAUAACGUAGGGAAACUUACGCUAAUACCGCAUACGACCUACGGGUGAAAGCAGGGGAUCUUCGGACCUUGCGCGAUUGAAUGAGCCGAUGUCGGAUUAGCUAGUUGGCGGGGUAAAGGCCCACCAAGGCGACGAUCCGUAGCUGGUCUGAGAGGAUGAUAAGCCACACUUGAAAUGUGACACGGGCCCGACUCCUACGGGAGGCAGCAGUGGGGAAUAUUGGACAAUGGGCGCAAGCCUGAUACAGCCAUACCGCGUGGGUGAAGAAGGGCUUCGGGUUGUAAAGCCCUUUUGUUGGGAAAGAAAAGCAGCAGGUUAAAACCCCGCUGUUCUGACGGUACCCAAAGAAUAAGCACCGGCUAAAUUCGUG